Molecule: ribosomal RNA, 512 nt
Filed under: Saturnispora silvae
Lineage: Eukaryota; Fungi; Ascomycota; Pichiomycetes; Pichiales; Pichiaceae
Description: eukaryotic LSU rRNA
Rfam family: Eukaryotic large subunit ribosomal RNA
Source: RNAcentral
GGCAAAAGCUCCAUUUUGAAAGCUCUUCGGAGCGUUGUAGAUUGGUGGGAAGCUAACGGCUGGUGGGAGACCAAGUCCUCUGGAACGAGGCGCCAUAGAGGGUGAGAGCCCCGUGUGUCUCCUUUACCGACCUUUCAGCCCCCUCCGCGGAGUCGAGUUGUUUGGGAAUGCAGCUCUAAGUGGGUGGUAAAUUCCAUCUAAGGCUAAAUAUUGGCGAGAGACCGAUAGCGAACAAGUACAGUGAUGGAAAGAUGAAAAGCACUUUGAAAAGAGAGUGAAACAGUACGUGAAAUUGUUGAAAGGGAAGGGUAUUUGGCCCGACAUGGGUCCUAUGCACCGUUGCCUCUCGUGGGCGGCGCUCUGCUUGGGCCUGGGCCAGCGUCAGUUUGGAGGGGGCGAGAAGGGUUUUGGGGAGUUGCCUAGCAAUUCCCCUUUGCUAGAUUGCCCCACACCGGACUGAGGACCGCCAUCUGUAGGAUGCUGGCACAACGGCCAAAUACCGCCCGUCUUGA